UGGGAUAUGGUGCAACGGCAGCACACCAGACUUUGAAUCUGUGGAUCUUGGUUCGAAUCCAGGUAUCCCAGCAA
Molecule: transfer RNA, 74 nt
Filed under: Flexilinea flocculi
Lineage: Bacteria; Bacillati; Chloroflexota; Anaerolineae; Anaerolineales; Anaerolineaceae
Description: tRNA-Gln
Rfam family: tRNA
About the family: Transfer RNA (tRNA) molecules are approximately 80 nucleotides in length.
Source: RNAcentral